RNAcentral lists this ribosomal RNA (422 nucleotides) under uncultured bacterium. RNAcentral describes it as "bacterial SSU rRNA". It matches the Rfam family "Bacterial small subunit ribosomal RNA", at positions 355 to 774 of the family's 1533-position model. The record is from RNAcentral.
UGAGGAAUAUUGGACAAUGGGCGCAAGCCUGAUCCAGCCAUGCCGCGUGCAGGAAGAAGCAUCUAUGGUGUGUAAACUGCUUUUGUACGGGAAGAAACACUCCUUCGUGGAGGAGCUUGACGGUACCGUAAGAAUAAGGAUCGGCUAACUCCGUGCCAGCAGCCGCGGUAAUACGGAGGAUCCAAGCGGUAUCCGGAAUCAUUGGGUUUAAAGGGUCCGUAGGCGGUUUAGUAAGUCAGUGGUGAAAGCCCAUCGCUCAACGAUGGAACGGCCAUUGAUACUGCUAGACUUGAAUUACAAGGAAGUAACUAGAAUAUGUAGUGUAGCGGUGAAAUGCUUAGAUAUUACAUGGAAUACCAAUUGCGAAGGCAGGUUACUACUUGUGGAUUGACGCUGAUGGACGAAAGCGUGGGGAGCGAACA